This 126-nucleotide ribosomal RNA is filed under the name Babesia gibsoni. Its description in RNAcentral is "partial small subunit ribosomal RNA". The record is from RNAcentral. Lineage: Eukaryota; Apicomplexa; Aconoidasida; Piroplasmida; Babesiidae.
CCGUCGUAGUCCUAACCAUAAACCAGGCCUACGAGGGAUUGGAGGUCGUCAUUGUCGAGACGUCUCAAGCCAGAAUUUCAUUCUCUAUUAAUUGAAAAGGCCCUUGCGUAUGGUCGCAAGGCUGAA